ACGCUGGCGGCAGGCUUAACACAUGCAAGUCGAACGGUAACAGGAAUUAGCUUGCUAAUUUGCUGACGAGUGGCGGACGGGUGAGUAAUGCUUGGGAAUCUGGCUUAUGGAGGGGGAUAACUACGGGAAACUGUAGCUAAUACCGCGUAAAAUCCUCGGAUUAAAGGGUGGGACUUUCGAGCCACCUGCCAUAAGAUGAGCCCAAGUGGGAUUAGGUAGUUGGUUAGGUAAAGGCUGACCAAGCCGACGAUCUCUAGCUGGUCUGAGAGGAUGACCAGCCACACUGGAACUGAGACACGGUCCAGACUCCUACGGGAGGCAGCAGUGGGGAAUAUUGCACAAUGGGGGGGACCCUGAUGCAGCCAUGCCGCGUGAAUGAAGAAGGCCUUCGGGUUGUAAAGUUCUUUCGGUGACGAGGAAGGUUGAUAGGUUAAUAGCCUAUCAAAUUGACGUUAAUCACAGAAGAAGCACCGGCUAACUCCGUGCCAGCAGCCGCGGUAAUACGGGGGGUGCGAGCGUUAAUCGGAAUAACUGGGCGUAAAGGGCACGCAGGCGGUGACUUAAGUGAGAUGUGAAAGCCCCGAGCUUAACUUGGGAAUUGCAUUUCAUACUGGGUCGCUAGAGUACUUUAGGGAGGGGUAGAAUUCCACGUGUAGCGGUGAAAUGCGUAGAGAUGUGGAGGAAUACCGAAGGCGAAGGCAGCCCCUUGGGAAUGUACUGACGCUCAUGUGCGAAAGCGUGGGGAGCAAACAGGAUUAGAUACCCUGGUAGUCCACGCUGUAAACGAUGUCGAUUUGGGGAUUGGGCUUUGAGCUUGGUGCCCGUAGCUAACGUGAUAAAUCGACCGCCUGGGGAGUACGGCCGCAAGGUUAAAACUCAAAUGAAUUGACGGGGGCCCGCACAAGCGGUG
Molecule: ribosomal RNA, 910 nt
Filed under: uncultured bacterium
Lineage: Bacteria
Description: bacterial SSU rRNA
Rfam family: Bacterial small subunit ribosomal RNA
Source: RNAcentral